RNAcentral lists this ribosomal RNA (515 nucleotides) under uncultured bacterium. RNAcentral's name for it is "partial 16S ribosomal RNA". It matches the Rfam family "Bacterial small subunit ribosomal RNA", at positions 28 to 523 of the family's 1533-position model. The record is from RNAcentral.
GACGAACGCUGGCGGCGUGCCUAAUACAUGCAAGUCGAGCGGACUUUCAAGAAGCUUGCUUUUUGAAAGUUAGCGGCGGACGGGUGAGUAACACGUGGGCAACCUGCCUGUAAGACGGGGAUAACUCCGGGAAACCGGGGCUAAUACCGGAUAAUAUCUUUCUUCGCAUGAAGGAAGGUUGAAAGGCGGCGCAAGCUGCCGCUUGCAGAUGGGCCCGCGGCGCAUUAGCUAGUUGGUGAGGUAACGGCUCACCAAGGCGACGAUGCGUAGCCGACCUGGGAGGGUGAUCGGCCACACUGGGACUGGAACACGGCCCAGACUCCGACGGGAGGCAGCAGUAGGGAAUCUUCCGCAAUGGACGAAAGUCUGACGGAGCAACGCCGCGUGAGCGAAGAAGGUCUUCGGAUCGUAAAGCUCUGUUGUCAGGGAAGAACAAGUACCGUUCGAAUAGGGCGGUACCUUGACGGUACCUGACCAGAAAGCCACGGCUAACUACGUGCCAGCCGCCGCAGUAA